RNAcentral lists this non-coding RNA (27 nucleotides) under Mus musculus (house mouse). Lineage: Eukaryota; Metazoa; Chordata; Mammalia; Rodentia; Muridae. The record is from RNAcentral.
UAAAUGUGACAUUUACGGUGUGGAAUG